RNAcentral lists this ribosomal RNA (657 nucleotides) under [Candida] ascalaphidarum. Its description in RNAcentral is "LSU rRNA". It matches the Rfam family "Eukaryotic large subunit ribosomal RNA", at positions 38 to 715 of the family's 3401-position model. The record is from RNAcentral. Lineage: Eukaryota; Fungi; Ascomycota; Pichiomycetes; Serinales; Debaryomycetaceae.
GCAUAUCAAUAAGCGGAGGAAAAGAAACCAACAGGGAUUGCCUUAGUAACGGCGAGUGAAGCGGCAAUAGCUCAAAUUUGAAAUCUGGCACCUUCGGUGUCCGAGUUGUAAUUUGUAGAAGGUAACCUUGGGUUUGGCUCUUGUCUAUGUUCCUUGGAACAGGACGUCACAGAGGGUGAGAAUCCCGUGCGAUGAGAUGCCCAUUCCUAUGUAAGGUGCUUUCGAAGAGUCGAGUUGUUUGGGAAUGCAGCUCUAAGUGGGUGGUAAAUUCCAUCUAAAGCUAAAUAUUGGCGAGAGACCGAUAGCGAACAAGUACAGUGAUGGAAAGAUGAAAAGAACUUUGAAAAGAGAGUGAAAAAGUACGUGAAAUUGUUGAAAGGGAAGGGUAUGAGAUCAGACUUGGUAUUUUGCAACCUUUCUUUCGGGAGGGGCCCCUGCAGUUUACCGGGCCAGCAUCGGUUUUGAUGGCAGGAUAAUGGUAUUGGAAUGUGACUCGACUACGGUUGAGUGUUAUAGCCUUUGCUGAUACUGCCUAUCGAGACCGAGGACUGCGUCUUUGACUAGGAUGCUGGCAUAAUGAUCCUAUGCCGCCCGUCUUGAAACACGGACCAAGGAGUCUAACGUCUAUGCGAGUGUUUGGGUGUAAAACCCGUACGC